Molecule: transfer RNA, 71 nt
Filed under: Phycisphaerales bacterium
Lineage: Bacteria; Pseudomonadati; Planctomycetota; Phycisphaerae; Phycisphaerales
Description: tRNA-Cys
Rfam family: tRNA
About the family: Transfer RNA (tRNA) molecules are approximately 80 nucleotides in length.
Source: RNAcentral
GGCGACGUAGCCAAGUGGUAAGGCAGAGGAUUGCAAAUCCUUUACCGCCGGUUCAAAUCCGGCCGGCGCCU